Molecule: non-coding RNA, 361 nt
Organism: Paramisgurnus dabryanus
Lineage: Eukaryota; Metazoa; Chordata; Actinopteri; Cypriniformes; Cobitidae
Source: RefSeq, a predicted model, not a curated record
GGUGAGAUAAAACUCAACGCCUGACUGAAUCAUCCAUUCCCUUUUCGAUCCUACGCCAUACGUUAAACUUGAGGUAAUCUUGCUUUUGCUGUUCUAAAAUAAACACUGCUCUUAGCACACCCCACCCUUACAUGGCACACAAGUAUAUGACACACAACACAGGUCUUCUCAGGAGGCUGUGCCUACAGCAAUAGGCUUUAUGCCCAGCUGCACUACUUCCUGAACUUCAGCCAGCUCCUUGUUUCCUGUCUGCCAUUAUUGGACAAACUGAUUAAUCCAGGUGUGCCUGAGCUUAGUAGUCACAACAACAAUAAUCAGACACACCUGGAUUUAUCAGUUUGUCCAGUAAUGGCAGACAGGA